Molecule: ribosomal RNA, 394 nt
Filed under: uncultured bacterium
Lineage: Bacteria
Description: bacterial SSU rRNA
Rfam family: Bacterial small subunit ribosomal RNA
Source: RNAcentral
GGAUUAGAAACCCGGGUAGUCCAUGCCGUAAACGUUGGGCGCUAGGUGUGGGGCUCAUUCCACGAGUUCCGUGCCGCAGCUAACGCAUUAAGCGCCCCGCCUGGGGAGUACGGCCGCAAGGCUAAAACUCAAAGGAAUUGACGGGGGCCCGCACAAGCGGCGGAGCAUGCUGAUUAAUUCGAUGCAACGCGAAGAACCUUACCAAGGCUUGACAUAUACCGGAAACGCUCAGAGAUGGGUGCCCCGCAAGGUCGGUGUACAGGUGGUGCAUGGUUGUCGUCAGCUCGUGUCGUGAGAUGUUGGGUUAAAUCCCGCAACGAGCGCAACCCUCGUUCUAUGUUGCCAGCGGGUCAUGCCGGGGACUCAUAGGAGACUGCCGGGGUCAACUCGGAGG